AUAUUGUUCGUACAAAUAAUAAAAAGAAAUUUUGUCUAUUUCUACAGCAGCGACUGAGUCCGUCAAAACCGAGUCUUACAAAUAAGCACUACUUCUUUGAGUACUUUCUUCGAUUCCGUUUCUCCAACGCACUGUGUUCAUGACUCCAAAACUCGCCCAGAAACGUCUUGGCCGCAUCCAAACUCGGGAAAUAAGUCGGUUCCAGGAACAGCUGAGUCAGCGAGUCGCAAGUGUCCGGACUCACCAAAACCCGAUUCCCUUUAGCUUCCAAGCUCCCCAUAACCACAGCCAGCAACUGCUUAUACCCAUAGAAAAACCUCUUCAACGCUGCCUCUGUCGCCUGCAACCCUUGAAGUAAACUAAUCUUCUCGAAAUCCCUCUUCUCUUUGUACAGUCUCAUCGCCGCCUCCUGGAUUCUCGGCCCACCCUUGGGGUCCACCUCCACGCCUAGAAUCUCCGGAACCUUGUGCUU
RNAcentral lists this unclassified non-coding RNA (472 nucleotides) under Hevea brasiliensis (rubber tree). The record is from RNAcentral. Lineage: Eukaryota; Viridiplantae; Streptophyta; Magnoliopsida; Malpighiales; Euphorbiaceae.